RNAcentral lists this ribosomal RNA (500 nucleotides) under uncultured bacterium. RNAcentral describes it as "partial 16S ribosomal RNA". It matches the Rfam family "Bacterial small subunit ribosomal RNA", at positions 30 to 523 of the family's 1533-position model. The record is from RNAcentral.
AUUGAACGCUGGCGGCAGGCCUAACACAUGCAAGUCGAGCGGAUGAGAGGAGCUUGCUCCUCGAUUCAGCGGCGGACGGGUGAGUAAUGCCUAGGAAUCUGCCCAGUAGUGGGGGACAACGUUUCGAAAGGAACGCUAAUACCGCAUACGUCCUACGGGAGAAAGGGGGGGAUCUUCGGACCUCACGCUAUUGGAUGAGCCUAGGUCGGAUUAGCUAGUUGGUAGGGUAAAGGCCUACCAAGGCGACGAUCCGUAACUGGUCUGAGAGGAUGAUCAGUCACACUGGAACUGAGACACGGUCCAGACUCCUACGGGAGGCAGCAGUGGGGAAUAUUGGACAAUGGGCGCAAGCCUGAUCCAGCCAUGCCGCGUGUGUGAAGAAGGCCCUCGGGUCGUAAAGCACUUUAAGUUGGGAGGAAGGGCUUACAGCGAAUACCUGUGAGUUUUGACGUUACCGACAGAAUAAGCACCGGCUAACUUCGUGCCAGCAGCCGCCGCCG